UCUUAGUGCUUAGUGAUUGGAUUUAUUUGAAAUUUUGGAAGCAUCAAGCUUUAUAAGCUGAGCUCUAGAAGGCACAAAUUUUGUUGAAUUUGAAGACAGUCUGAAUUUUUAGUGAAUUUCUAAGUGAAGAGGAUUGGUCACCAUGGCAGUUUGGAUCACUCAACUUCAAAGGAGGAAUUCUCACGACUGGAUCAUUAGAUUGCAACAAGGAUUGUUGGAUCAAAAGCGCCUUUAAGUCAACCUUGCAACAAGUUAAGAAACAUUCAAAUUGAAGCCGAUUACAAAUUUUGGCGAAUUUUGGAGUAGAAGGGAGUGGAUGCCUUCAAUCCUUACGUAUUGUCAAGGUACCUUCGCUAUUACCUCUCACUUUAUUUUUACUAUCGUCUUCACAGUGACUUGUAAGCUCCACAUUUCACUUUUUAGCUAAUAAAUUUUAAAUUUUAACUUUUAACCUUUAAUAUUCUCACUUUAACUUUAAUUUUUAUUUUUAUUUUUAAUUUUUCACUUAAUCUUUAAUUUUAACUUUUAAUUUACUUUUUUUUACUUAACCUUUUAAUUUUAAAUUUUAACUUAACCU
Molecule: long non-coding RNA, 577 nt
Filed under: Physcomitrium patens
Lineage: Eukaryota; Viridiplantae; Streptophyta; Bryopsida; Funariales; Funariaceae
Description: long non-coding RNA (PPAT_LNC006724)
Source: RNAcentral